UACAUGGGGUGCAAACGUUGCUCGGAAUUAUUGGGCGUAAAGCGCGUGUAGGCGGUUUCUUAAGUCUGAUGUGAAAGCCCUGGGCUCAACCCAGGAAGUGCAUUGGAUACUGGGAGACUUGAAUACGGGAGAGGGUAGUGGAAUUCCUAGUGUAGGAGUGAAAUCCGUAGAUAUUAGGAGGAACACCGGUGGCGAAGGCGGCUCACUGGCCCGGUACUGACGCUGAGGUGCGAAAGCGUGGGGAGCAAACAGG
Molecule: ribosomal RNA, 253 nt
Filed under: uncultured bacterium
Lineage: Bacteria
Description: partial 16S ribosomal RNA
Rfam family: Bacterial small subunit ribosomal RNA
Source: RNAcentral